Long non-coding RNA from Pongo pygmaeus (Bornean orangutan), 1204 nucleotides. RefSeq lists it as uncharacterized. NCBI's taxonomy places the organism in Eukaryota, Metazoa, Chordata, Mammalia, Primates, Hominidae. The transcript is spliced from 6 exons. The record is from RefSeq and is a predicted model, not a curated record.
GUACUCGGGUGUCCUCCAGCUAGUAUUCCGUUCCAACCGUUUCUCUGGCGACCGUUCGACCUGGAUUCGAGCCCCCCAUAAUGGACGCCACUUGCUGAGACCAGUUUGGUGGGGGAGACCCUAACCCAGUGGCGCUAGAGGAAUUAAAGACACACACACAGAAAUAUAGAGUAACAUAGAACGUCGAUUGUCCUGAGUUCCAGAGCCUCAAAGAGCAGCCUGCAUAACUGUGGGAGAAUAGUAAGCACUGGACACAAAAUGGAAAAGCUGACCUUCUAGUACAGCAGAGCAUGAGCAGUGAGUGAGCAGUGCCCGUGCGGUGUCAGGCGGCCUCCACGGUAUAAGUUGAAAACAUUCAAGUACGGAAUAAACCAUUACUGCGAAUACGCUCCUAUGACACAAGAACAAUCUCUGAGCUUCUUUGAGGAUGUCCAGAUGACUGCUGACUGCACUAAUUGCAUCAAUCAUGCAUCCAUACAGGACUGCCACAAGAACAUGAAGUCCAGAGCUCCAGCAGCUGUUGGAACCACGAUGUGACCCUGAAGGCAGGAAACAGCUUUGGAAGCUCUCAAGAUGAUGCCAAAGAAAGACAAGAAGCAUACGUGGUCAACAUGGAAGUUUAAUUUGGACCUUACUCAUUCAAUAGAAGAUGGAACUUUUGAUUCUGGAAAUUUUGAACAGUUUCUAAAAGGUUAAAAUCAAUGGAAAAACUGAAAAUCUCACAGACGUUAACAGUGAAUGCUUCAAAAAUAAAAUCACAGUUGUUUCUGAGAAACAAUUUCUAAAAGGUCCUUAAAAUGCCUCACCAAGAAAUACCUCAGGGAGAACAGUCUUCGUGAUUGGCCUUGACUGGCUGCAUCCUGCAAGGAGCCUCACGGACCUCACUAUGUCCCGAUCAGUCACGGUGAAGAUGGGUGAGUCUGAGGAGCAGGUAAAGCUUCCUUCCCAGGGCUUUGCUUACCAAUACAACAAAUCAAACAUACGCGAGAAAGAAACAUCUAGAAAUUGACUUUCAGUUUAUUGGUGAAUAAAAACAUUGUACUCUUUAAAAAAUUAAUUCCUGAAAUUAAUCUUUCUUAGAAGGCUCACCUUUCUUGAGUCUCAAAUUUCGUCCCUGUUCCAGAAAGAAGGUGGACAAUAUGACCUCUGUGGUUCCCUUUAGUGCUAGCUUGCUGAGGAUAUGAAUUCUCUUCUGGAAGUAACC